ACUCCUACGGGAGGCAGCAGUGGGGAAUAUUGCACAAUGGGCGCAAGCCUGAUGCAGCAACGCCGCGUGAGCGAUGAAGGCCUUCGGGUCGUAAAGCUCUGUCCUCAAGGAAGAAUAAAUGACGGUACUUGAGGAGGAAGCCCGGGCCUAACUACGUGCCAGCAGCCGCGGUAAUACGUAGGGGGCAAGCGUUAUCCGGAAUCACUGGGGCGUAAAGGGGUGCGUAGGCGGUUUUCAAGUCAGAAGUGAAAGGCUAUGGCUCAACCAUAGUAAGCUUUUGAAACUGUUAAACUUGAAGUGCAGGAGAGGAAAGUGGAAUUCCUAGUGUAGAGGUGAAAUUCGUAGAUAUUAGGAGGAACACCAGUGGCGAAGGCGACUUUCUGGACUGUAACUGACGCUGAGGCACGAAAGCGUGGGGAGCGGAACAGGAUUAGAUACCCUGGUAGCACA
RNAcentral lists this ribosomal RNA (450 nucleotides) under uncultured bacterium. Its description in RNAcentral is "bacterial SSU rRNA". It matches the Rfam family "Bacterial small subunit ribosomal RNA", at positions 335 to 797 of the family's 1533-position model. The record is from RNAcentral.